RNAcentral lists this unclassified non-coding RNA (228 nucleotides) under Hevea brasiliensis (rubber tree). Lineage: Eukaryota; Viridiplantae; Streptophyta; Magnoliopsida; Malpighiales; Euphorbiaceae. The record is from RNAcentral.
UUGCUUUUCCUAUAUAUUGGGUUACGUCUUGCACCGAGUUACAGGUGUGUUGGGUGUCUUUCACUUAUGGAUGAGGAGGAAUCUGAGUUGGUUGUGGAAGCGGCUAUUGUUCAUAAUGAGAUAGAGGUGCCUGAUAAUCUCUUUGUGGGUCGCUUUCUUACUGAUCGAGUGAUUAAUUUCGGGGGCUAUGAAGGCUGUUUUAGCUAAUCUAUGGAGGCCAGUGCGAGA